AGGGGUAUAGUUCAGUUGGUAGAACGCAGGUCUCCAAAACCUGAUGUCGAGGGUUCAAGUCCUUCUGCCCCUG
This 73-nucleotide transfer RNA is filed under the name Lachnospiraceae bacterium. RNAcentral describes it as "tRNA-Trp". It matches the Rfam family "tRNA". From Rfam's summary of the family: Transfer RNA (tRNA) molecules are approximately 80 nucleotides in length. Lineage: Bacteria; Bacillati; Bacillota; Clostridia; Lachnospirales; Lachnospiraceae. RNAcentral also lists the same sequence under 3 other names. The record is from RNAcentral.